GUUACAGUGCGGGUGUCUGUGACGUCAUCGGUGUGCAGGCAGUGCUGACUUGUAGUGGUGAGUGUAGUGCGUGCUGCGUGGAUACUGGUUAGGAAGAUGAGAAAGCCUGAGCCGCUGCUAACCUCGUGAGGCACAUUCUCCUCAAUCGACAACAUGCCUGCCCGCUCAACCCUGACAGAUGCUCUAUUGACGUCAGUUGCUCUGUUGCCUGUUAUCCUGGGGUUCACCACGACCCCGUCACCCACACCCUCACCCUGUAA
Long non-coding RNA from Macrosteles quadrilineatus (aster leafhopper), 260 nucleotides. RefSeq lists it as uncharacterized. The transcript is spliced from 3 exons. Lineage: Eukaryota; Metazoa; Arthropoda; Insecta; Hemiptera; Cicadellidae. The record is from RefSeq and is a predicted model, not a curated record.